CCUACGGGAGGCUGCAGUGGGGAAUGUUGCACAAUGGGGGAAACCCUGAUGCAGCGACGCCGCGUGAGCGAUGCAGUAUUUCGGUAUGUAAAGCUCUAUCAGCAGGGAAGAAGAUGACGGUACCUGACUAAGAAGCCCCGGCUAACUACGUGCCAGCAGCCGCGGUAAUACGUAGGGUGCAAGCGUUGUCCGGAUUCACUGGGCGUAAAGGGAGCGUAGACGGCGAUGCAAGCCUGAUGUGAAAGCCCGGGGCUCAACCCCGGGACUGCAUUGGGAACUGGGUGGCUGGAGUGUCGGAGAGGCAGGGGGAAUUCCUGGUGUAGCGGUGAAAUGCGUAGAUAUUAGGAGGAACACCGGUGGCGUAGGCGGCCUACUGGGCGGUGACUGACGUUGAGGCUCGAAAGCGUGGGGAGCAAACGGGAUUAGAUACCCUUGUAGUC
RNAcentral lists this ribosomal RNA (440 nucleotides) under uncultured bacterium. RNAcentral's name for it is "partial 16S ribosomal RNA". It matches the Rfam family "Bacterial small subunit ribosomal RNA", at positions 338 to 795 of the family's 1533-position model. The record is from RNAcentral.